RNAcentral lists this ribosomal RNA (253 nucleotides) under uncultured bacterium. RNAcentral describes it as "partial 16S ribosomal RNA". It matches the Rfam family "Bacterial small subunit ribosomal RNA", at positions 524 to 776 of the family's 1533-position model. The record is from RNAcentral.
UACGUAGGGUGCAAGCGUUAAUCGGAAUUACUGGGCGUAAAGCGUGCGCAGGCGGUUGUGCAAGACCGAUGUGAAAUCCCCGGGCUUAACCUGGGAAUGGCAUUGGUGACUGCACGGCUAGGGUGUGUCAGAGGGGGGUAGAAUUCCACGUGUAGCAGUGAAAUGCGUAGAGAUGUGGAGGAAUACCGAUGGCGAAGGCAGCCCCCUGGGAUAACACUGACGCUCAUGCACGAAAGCGUGGGGAGCAAACAGG